This 497-nucleotide ribosomal RNA is filed under the name uncultured bacterium. RNAcentral's name for it is "partial 16S ribosomal RNA". It matches the Rfam family "Bacterial small subunit ribosomal RNA", at positions 28 to 507 of the family's 1533-position model. The record is from RNAcentral.
GAUGAACGCUGGCGGCGUGCCUAAUACAUGCAAGUCGAGCGAAUAGACGAGGAGCCUGCUCCUCUGACGUUAUCGGCGGCCGGGUGAGUAACACGUGGAUAACCUACCUAUAAGACUGGGAUAACUUCGGGAAACCGGAGCUAAUACCGGAUAAUAUAUUGAACCGCAUGGUUCUAUAGUGACAGACGGUUUUGCUGUCACUUAUAGACGGAUACGCGCCGCAUUAGCUAGUUGGUAAGGUAACGGCUUACCAAGGCAACGAAGCUUAGCCGACCUGGGAGGAUGAUCGGCCACACUGUAUCUGAGACAGAGGCCAUGCUCCUACGGGGAGCGGCAGUAAGAAUGCGUCAGAAAGGCGCGAAAGCUUGACGGAGCAACGCCGCGUGAGUGAUGAAAAUCUUCGGAUCGUAAAAGUCUGUUAUUAGGGAAGGACAAAUGUGUAGGUAACGAUGAACGUCUGGACGGUACCUAUGCAGAAAGCCACGGCUAACUACGUG